RNAcentral lists this ribosomal RNA (158 nucleotides) under Salmonella enterica subsp. enterica serovar Infantis. Its description in RNAcentral is "partial 16S ribosomal RNA". It matches the Rfam family "Bacterial small subunit ribosomal RNA", at positions 1 to 152 of the family's 1533-position model. Lineage: Bacteria; Pseudomonadati; Pseudomonadota; Gammaproteobacteria; Enterobacterales; Enterobacteriaceae. The record is from RNAcentral.
UUAAAUUGAAGAGUUUGAUCAUGGCUCAGAUUGAACGCUGGCGGCAGGCCUAACACAUGCAAGUCGAACGGUAGCACAGAGAGCUUGCUCUCGGGUGACGAGUGGCGGACGGGUGAGUAAUGUCUGGGAAACUGCCUGAUGGAGGGGGAUAACUACUG